GUACGUAGCUAUUAUUACUAAAUCCCAUCGACUAUUUGAACUAAUGUGUUCGAUUUGCACAGAGAGGAGCCCGGCCACCACCUGCCCAGGGUGGCCGGGCCUUAGGCUCCGCCAGUGCCCUCAACCGUUGUAAAAGAUUUCAAUGAAAAAUACUGCCUUAUAUAAUCUUUAAUAUUGGCAUGUGCGGGUUAUAAUUUUAUGAAGACAUGGGGAGAGAGGUGGCUAAUUUUUAAAAAAAGAUUGUAGAAGUUAUUUAAAUUAAUUUUCAUAAUAAUGGUUUACCGAUGUGGUUAAUUUAGAUACAAAUUUAGUAGUUAUUUGAAUAUUUGAAUUACCUUUCAUGGUGGUGGAGGUGGGUGAUUUCGUUACAGAAGAUUUAGAUGUUUAUUUUGAAUUUAUCUUACAUAAUUGUAAAAGCUAGGUAAUUUAGAUAUAAAUUUGAGAUGCUAUUUUUCAAUAUGUUUCAUAAUACAUAGGAGUGAUGGGUAAUUUGGUUGAAAAUUUAUGGGAUUCCUUCAUUAGAUAAUUUUUAUUGAUGAUGAUGAUUAAAGGUUACAUGUUUCUAAUUAUUGUGAGAAUUUCUAAAAUUUAUUCAUUUUUUCUAGCACAUCCGAUGAGAAUUAAUGUAUAUAUACUCGGUAUGCGUCUUUCCUCUUUCUCUUUUUUCUAUAUAUAAGUUUUCAUUUUUUUAAUUUUUUCUUUAUUUUUUUUCUUUCUUUUUCUUUCUUUUUUUGCUUUAUUUUUUUUUCUUUCUCUGUCUUAGCGGCUGGCGCGCUCGCGGGGGCUCUCGGCCGCCAGUGGGGGCGCGCGCGGCCGCGCGGCCGACGGCGUAAGGCCCGCGCGCCACUGCCCCCUGCAGGCGGGC
RNAcentral lists this long non-coding RNA (865 nucleotides) under Sorghum bicolor (sorghum). RNAcentral describes it as "long non-coding RNA (SBIC_LNC007794)". The record is from RNAcentral. Lineage: Eukaryota; Viridiplantae; Streptophyta; Magnoliopsida; Poales; Poaceae.